Molecule: transfer RNA, 26 nt
Filed under: Phlegmariurus cumingii
Lineage: Eukaryota; Viridiplantae; Streptophyta; Lycopodiopsida; Lycopodiales; Lycopodiaceae
Description: partial transfer RNA-Phe
Source: RNAcentral
CCCGGGAUAGCUCAAUAGGUAGAGCA